GACGAACGCUGGCGGCGUGCUUAACACAUGCAAGUCGAACGGUAAGGCCCUUCGGGGUACACGAGUGGCGAACGGGUGAGUAACACAUGGGUGAUCUGCCCUGCACUUCGGGAUAAGCCUGGGAAACUGGGUCUAAUACCGGAUAGGACUCCUGGCUCCAUGGUUGGGGGUGGAAAGCUUUUGCGGUGUGGGAUGGGCCCGCGGCCUAUCAGCUUGUUGGUGGGGUAUUGGCCUACCAAGGGGACGACGGGUAGCCGGCCUGAGAGGGUGACCUGCCACACUGGGACUUAGAUACGGCCCAGACUCCUACGGGAGGCAGCAGUGGGGAAUAUUGCACAAUGGGCGCAAGCCUGAUGCAGCGACGCCGCGUGAGGGAUGACGGCCUUCGGGUUGUAAACCUCUUUCAGCUAUGACGAAGCGCAAGUGACGGUAGUAGCAGAAGAAGGACCGGCCAACUACGUGCCAGCCGCCGCGGUAA
This 478-nucleotide ribosomal RNA is filed under the name uncultured bacterium. RNAcentral's name for it is "partial 16S ribosomal RNA". It matches the Rfam family "Bacterial small subunit ribosomal RNA", at positions 28 to 523 of the family's 1533-position model. The record is from RNAcentral.